This 328-nucleotide ribosomal RNA is filed under the name uncultured eukaryote. RNAcentral's name for it is "partial 18S ribosomal RNA". It matches the Rfam family "Eukaryotic small subunit ribosomal RNA", at positions 1470 to 1796 of the family's 1831-position model. The record is from RNAcentral.
CCCUUAGAUGUUCUGGGCCGCACGCGCGCUACACUGACUACUUCAACGAGUUGUUUCCUUGAUCGAAAGGUCUGGGUAAUCUUUGAAAGGUAGUCGUGAUGGGGAUAGAUCCUUGCAAUUUUUGAUCUUCAACGAGGAAUUCCUAGUAAACGCAAGUCAUCAGCUUGCAUUGAUUACGUCCCUGCCCUUUGUACACACCGCCCGUCGCACCUACCGAUUGAAUGGUCCGGUGAAUCUUUAGGACUGUGGCUGAGGCCUUGCCUUGUGCGGGUCUGGCCGUGGGAAUUUAGUUAAACCUUACCAUUUAGAGGAGGGUGAAGUCGUAACA